Molecule: long non-coding RNA, 307 nt
Filed under: Olea europaea (common olive)
Lineage: Eukaryota; Viridiplantae; Streptophyta; Magnoliopsida; Lamiales; Oleaceae
Description: long non-coding RNA (OEUR_LNC012365)
Source: RNAcentral
AGGCCAUGACAUAAUCUGAGGAUGGUUUUUAUUACUUCAUAGAUGCUUCCAAGUCCUUAGCACACUUCCCCAAAGCCUUAUAUCAUUCUACUGCCUCCUCUGGUGCUUGGGCCAAAACAGAUUGUAGGUUAUCGUUUUUUGUCUCUUGCUCACAAGUUUGGCCCUAUAAAGCUUUUGGAUUUCCUUGCUGAGGCAAAUAUAUAAGAAGUAUAACACAUUUUUUCAUGCAUUAGGAUUUAGAAGUGAGGUGAAAUUCAUUAAAAAUUGAGACAGAAUGGAUGGAUGGGGAAUCGAAGACCACCAUCCA